UACAGAGGUCUCAAGCGUUGUUCGGAUUCAUUGGGCGUAAAGGGUGCGUAGGUGGGUUGGUAAGUCAGUGGUGAAAUCUCCGAGCUUAACUUGGAAACUGCCAUUGAUACUAUCAAUCUUGAAUACUGUGGAGGUCAGCGGAAUAUGUCAUGUAGCGGUGAAAUGCUUAGAUAUGACAUAGAACACCAAUUGCGAAGGCAGCUGGCUACACAAUUAUUGACACUGAGGCACGAAAGCGUGGGGAUCAAACAGG
Molecule: ribosomal RNA, 253 nt
Filed under: uncultured bacterium
Lineage: Bacteria
Description: partial 16S ribosomal RNA
Rfam family: Bacterial small subunit ribosomal RNA
Source: RNAcentral